UUGGGGGUAUAGCUCAGUGGGAGAGCAUGUGCAUAGCAGGCACAAGGCCCUGGGUUCUAUCCCUAGCACCAAAA
Molecule: transfer RNA, 74 nt
Filed under: Marmota monax (woodchuck)
Lineage: Eukaryota; Metazoa; Chordata; Mammalia; Rodentia; Sciuridae
Description: tRNA.Ala
Rfam family: tRNA
About the family: Transfer RNA (tRNA) molecules are approximately 80 nucleotides in length.
Source: RNAcentral